AUUGAACGCUGGCGGAAUGCUUUACACAUGCAAGUCGAACGGUAGAGGGGGCAACCCCUUGAGAGUGGCGAACGGGUGAGUAAUAUAUCGGAACGUGCCCAGUCGUGGGGAUAACGUAGCGAAAGUUACGCUAAUACCGCAUACGAUCUAAGGAUGAAAGCGGGGGACUCGCAAGAGCCUCGCGCGAUUGGAGCGGCCGAUAUCAGAUUAGGUAGUUGGUGGGGUAAAGGCUCACCAAGCCAACGAUCUGUAGCUGGUCUGAGAGGACGACCAGCCACACUGGAACUGAGACACGGUCCAGACUCCUACGGGAGGCAGCAGUGGGGGAAUUUUGGACAAUGGACGCAAGUCUGAUCCAGCCAUUCCGCGUGCAGGAUGAAGGCCCUCGGGUUGUAAACUGCUUUUAUACAGGAAGAAACACUCCGACGUGUCGGAGCUUGACGGUACUGUAAGAAUAAGGAUCGGCUAACUCCGUGCCAGCAGCCGCGGU
Molecule: ribosomal RNA, 490 nt
Filed under: uncultured bacterium
Lineage: Bacteria
Description: bacterial SSU rRNA
Rfam family: Bacterial small subunit ribosomal RNA
Source: RNAcentral